GACGUAGGGCGCGAGCGUUGUCCGGAUUUAUUGGGCGUAAAGAGCUCGUAGGCGGCUUGUCGCGUCGUGUGUGAAAUCUCAGGGCUCAACUCUGACAUUGCAUACGAUACGGGCAGGCUUGAGUUCGGUAGGGGAGACUGGAAUUCCUGGUGUAGCGGUGAAAUGCGCAGAUAUCAGGAGGAACACCGGUGGCGAAGGCGGGUCUCUGGGCCUGAUAUGACGCUGAGGCGCGAAAGCUAGGGGAGCGAACAGG
RNAcentral lists this ribosomal RNA (253 nucleotides) under uncultured bacterium. Its description in RNAcentral is "partial 16S ribosomal RNA". It matches the Rfam family "Bacterial small subunit ribosomal RNA", at positions 524 to 776 of the family's 1533-position model. The record is from RNAcentral.